GACCAGACUCCUACGGGAGGCAGCAGUGAGGAAUAUUGGUCAAUGGGCGGGAGCCUGAACCAGCCAAGCCGCGUGAAGGAAGAAGGCGCCAGGCGUCGUAAACUUCUUUUGUCGGGGAACAAAGGGCGCCACGCGUGGCGUUGUGAGUGUACCCGAAGAAAAAGCAUUGGCUAACUCCGUGCCAGCAGCCGCGGUAAUACGUAGGGGGCGAGCGUUAUCCGGAUUCAUUGGGCGUAAAGCGCGCGUAGGCGGCCGCCUAAGCGGAACCUCUACCCCCGGGGCUCAACCUCGGGCCGGGUUCCGGACUGGGCGGCUCGAGUGCGGUAGAGGAGAGCGGAAUUCCCGGUGUAGCGGUGGAAUGCGCAGAUAUCGGGAAGAACACCGAUGGCGAAGGCAGCUCUCUGGGCCGUCACUGACGCUGAGGCGCGAAAGCUGGGGGAGCGAACAGGAUUAGAUACCCCAGUA
RNAcentral lists this ribosomal RNA (465 nucleotides) under uncultured bacterium. RNAcentral's name for it is "bacterial SSU rRNA". It matches the Rfam family "Bacterial small subunit ribosomal RNA", at positions 329 to 792 of the family's 1533-position model. The record is from RNAcentral.